RNAcentral lists this transfer RNA (72 nucleotides) under Salmo salar (Atlantic salmon). It matches the Rfam family "tRNA". From Rfam's summary of the family: Transfer RNA (tRNA) molecules are approximately 80 nucleotides in length. Their secondary structure includes four short double-helical elements and three loops (D, anti-codon, and T loops). Lineage: Eukaryota; Metazoa; Chordata; Actinopteri; Salmoniformes; Salmonidae. The record is from Rfam by way of RNAcentral.
UCCCAUGUGGCUCAGUUGGUAGAGUAUGGUGUUUGCAACGCCAGGGUUGUGGGUUUGAUUCCCACGGGGGAC